GACGAACGCUGGCGGCGUGCUUAACACAUGCAAGUCGAACGGAAAGGCCCUGCUUUUGUGGGGUGCUCGAGUGGCGAAAGGGUGAGUAACACGUGAGUAACCUGCCCUUGACUUUGGGAUAACUUCAGGAAACUGGGGCUAAUACCGGAUAGGAGCUCCUGCUGCAUGGUGGGGGUUGGAAAGUUUCGGCGGUUGGGGAUGGACUCGCGGCUUAUCAGCUUGUUGGUGGGGUAGUGGCUUACCAAGGCUUUGACGGGUAGCCGGCCUGCGAGGGUGACCGGCCACAUUGGGACUGAGAUGCGGCCCGGACUCCUACGGGAGGCAGCAGUGGGGAAUAUUGCACAAUGGGCGGAAGCCUGAUGCAGCAACGCCGCGUGCGGGAUGACGGCCGUCGGGUUGUAAACCGCUUUCGCCUGUGACGAAGCGUGAGUGACGGUAAUGGGUAAAGAAGCACCGGCUAACUACGUG
RNAcentral lists this ribosomal RNA (468 nucleotides) under uncultured bacterium. RNAcentral describes it as "partial 16S ribosomal RNA". It matches the Rfam family "Bacterial small subunit ribosomal RNA", at positions 28 to 507 of the family's 1533-position model. The record is from RNAcentral.